This 827-nucleotide ribosomal RNA is filed under the name uncultured bacterium. RNAcentral describes it as "bacterial SSU rRNA". It matches the Rfam family "Bacterial small subunit ribosomal RNA", at positions 66 to 893 of the family's 1533-position model. The record is from RNAcentral.
GCGGCAGCGCGGGGCAACCUGGCGGCGAGCGGCGAACGGGUGAGUAACAUAUCGGAACGUAUCCUUUAGUGGGGGAUAACGCAGCGAAAGCUGUGCUAAUACCGCAUACGAUCGGGAGAUGAAAGCGGGGGAUCGCAAGACCUCGCGCUAAAGGAGUGGCCGAUAUCAGAUUAGCUAGUUGGUGAGGUAAAGGCUCACCAAGGCGACGAUCUGUAGCUGGUCUGAGAGGAUGAUCAGCCACACUGGAACUGAGACACGGCCCAGACUCCUACGGGAGGCAGCAGUGGGGAAUUUUGGACAAUGGGGGCAACCCUGAUCCAGCCAUUCCGCGUGAGUGAAGAAGGCCUUCGGGUUGUAAAGCUCUUUUGUUGGGGACGAAACGGUUACGGUUAAUACCCGUGACAACUGACGGUACCCGAAGAAUAAGCACCGGCUAACUACGUGCCAGCAGCCGCGGUAAUACGUAGGGUGCGAGCGUUAAUCGGAAUUACUGGGCGUAAAGCGUGCGCAGGCGGUUUUGUAAGCCAGAUGUGAAAUCCCCGGGCUUAACCUGGGAAUGGCAUUUGGGACUGCAAGGCUAGAGUAUGGCAGAGGAGACUAGAAUUUCUGGUGUAGCAGUGAAAUGCGUAGAUAUCAGAAGGAAUACCGAUGGCGAANGCAGGUCUCUGGGUCAAUACUGACGCUCAUGCACGAAAGCGUGNGGAGCAAACAGGAUUAGAUACCCUGNUAGUCCACGCCCUAAACGAUGGAUACUCGACAUACGCGAUACACUGUGUGUGUCUGANCGAAAGCAUUAAGUAUCCCACCUGGGAAGUACGUUCGCAAGA